RNAcentral lists this ribosomal RNA (421 nucleotides) under Pseudomonas fluorescens. RNAcentral's name for it is "bacterial SSU rRNA". It matches the Rfam family "Bacterial small subunit ribosomal RNA", at positions 54 to 471 of the family's 1533-position model. The record is from RNAcentral. Lineage: Bacteria; Pseudomonadati; Pseudomonadota; Gammaproteobacteria; Pseudomonadales; Pseudomonadaceae.
CAUGCAAGUCGAGCGGUAGAGAGAAGCUUGCUUCUCUUGAGAGCGGCGGACGGGUGAGUAAUGCCUAGGAAUCUGCCUGGUAGUGGGGGAUAACGUUCGGAAACGGACGCUAAUACCGCAUACGUCCUACGGGAGAAAGCAGGGGACCUUCGGGCCUUGCGCUAUCAGAUGAGCCUAGGUCGGAUUAGCUAGUUGGUGAGGUAAUGGCUCACCAAGGCGACGAUCCGUAACUGGUCUGAGAGGAUGAUCAGUCACACUGGAACUGAGACACGGUCCAGACUCCUACGGGAGGCAGCAGUGGGGAAUAUUGGACAAUGGGCGAAAGCCUGAUCCAGCCAUGCCGCGUGUGUGAAGAAGGUCUUCGGAUUGUAAAGCACUUUAAGUUGGGAGGAAGGGUUGUAGAUUAAUACUCUGCAAUUUU